RNAcentral lists this ribosomal RNA (253 nucleotides) under uncultured bacterium. RNAcentral describes it as "partial 16S ribosomal RNA". It matches the Rfam family "Bacterial small subunit ribosomal RNA", at positions 524 to 776 of the family's 1533-position model. The record is from RNAcentral.
UACAGAGGGUGCGAGCGUUAAUCGGAAUUACUGGGCGUAAAGCGCACGUAGUCGGCUUUGCAAGUCGGGUGUGAAAUCCCCGGGCUUAACCUGGGAACUGCAUUUGUGACUGCAUAGCUAGAGUACGGCAGAGGGGGAUGGAAUUCCGCGUGUAGCAGUGAAAUGCGUAGAUAUGCGGAGGAACACCGAUGGCGAAGGCAAUCCCCUGGGCCUGUACUGACGCUCAUGCACGAAAGCGUGGGGAGCAAACAGG